This 4592-nucleotide long non-coding RNA is filed under the name Homo sapiens (human). Its description in RNAcentral is "HSALNT0230521". Lineage: Eukaryota; Metazoa; Chordata; Mammalia; Primates; Hominidae. The record is from RNAcentral.
CUUUCCAGAUGAUUCUAAUGUGCAGCCAGCCUUAGAGCCAGUGAUUUAUCACAUCACAGAUACCCAGAAAAUGCUUGAUGGAUGUUUGAUUGAUUGACCUGAGUCCAGAUGUGGGCCCAAAUUUCCUAAUUAACUACCCAAAUGUAUUUGGCUACCAGAAAAAGGUGGCUAACCCAAUAGACUUAAUAAAUAUUGUUUGGGGCUGAAGAUGGUAAUCUUGAUGUUGACAGUGAUUAUGGUGAUGAUGAUAAAAAUCUGAAACAAAUUCUGGCAUUUCUAGUCUCAGCACAGGACAACAGUUCCCCAAAAAGAAAUCAGAUCGGCCCAGCUUCGAUUUUUGCAAAUUCUUUUCUUCCCUAAGAGGUGCCUUGUGCCUUUCCAGUCACUCUAGAUGGGACUCUGCAAGACAACAGGCUUCCUGGAUCAGUGGAGCAGACUCACUGGGAAUAACCUAGUUCCUCCUCAUUCCCAAGGCCACAGUUUAUAAAAAGCUUAGUUAAUUUGUCAUUGUGAGAAACUUUUGGACACAACUAAGUUCCUUUCUUAAUGAGGCGUUGCUCCCAGGGAAUGGGUAGGGACACAGCCUUUUAGUCUAUGGCCUAAAAGGUUUGGGAAGGACAGAAGUUCCUUCAAUAGUUGUUGCCAGUUGUUUAGAGACAUUUAGAGACAUUUACUCAUUUGCUAAUGAGGCAAGAGUCAUGGCUCCAUCCCCUCAUUUAGCAUGGAGUUUUGCUUCAUUCUGUGAGUGGUGUUCACCCCUAAUCUCACUCAGUCUUGCAAAUGCCACUGGAGUAUUCAUAUAGAUGGUGAAAGAGGGGGAGGAUUGGAGAGAGCAUCUUUAUCCAUAAAAGGUCACCAUAGGUAUAGCCCAAGCAUUUAGGACUGGGACUGUUUCAUUUUAUAGCAGGUCUGAUUUAGAAUUAUCUUGACUAGAAGGUAAUAUGGUUUGGCUCUGUGUCUCCACUGAGAUUUCAUGUCAAAUUGUAAUCCCCACUUGUUGGAGGAGGAGCCUGCUGGGAGGUAAUUGAAUCACAGGGACAGACUUCCCCUUUACUGUUCUCAUGAUAGUGAGUGAGUUCUCACGAGAUCUGGUUGUUUGAAAGUGUGUAGCACCUCCGUCUUCACUCUCUCUCUCUCUCUCCUGCUGCCAUGUGAAGACGUGCUUGCUUCCCCUUCCACCAUGAUUGUAAGUUUCCUGAGGCCUCCCCAGCUAUGCUUCCUGUACAGCCUGUGGAACUAAGCUGGGGCCUUCAAGCAGAAACUAAAUUACAGCAGAAGCUCUCCAGGGGGAACUGAGAGACAGCGAAUUCUGGAAAUGCCAAGUAAGCCUGGCAAUUGCAAGAGAAAUAACCCUGGAUUUCCCCCUCUCCUGCCCUUCAAUUCUGGAGGAAGAAUCAAAACAAAGACCUUAAAGCCACACAAUCUCAGAGCCAGAAUGUGUAGGUUUCUAUCAAACGUCCCCUCCCCAAUCCUUCCCCAAGCACACACAGAGAAUCCCGGAUGCUGCUAGAACACUUCCACCACUGGAAAGCUCAGGACCCUCCAUCCCGUUGGUGGCUGCCCCAGUCAUUACAGAUUUUCUUCCUUUCACUGAGCCAAAUCUGUCCACUGGCUUCCAGGAAGAGGAGGCCUGGUCUGUGCCCCUGCCUGGCAAAGCCCCGUAGACUUUCCUCAAUCUUUCAAGUGUCUUCUUUAUCUUCUAUCCUGCUUAUAACAUAAGCACCACAUUCAGCUUUGGGUUUUAUAUGUCGGCCUGCUAAGUAUCUGAACCAGGUUUAUCCAAAAUUUGUCACAGUAUAUGAAUUGAUGUUCUUUGAAAAAGAACAAAGAAAGUUUUAUGGUCAAAUAAGCUUUGAAAAUGCUGGGUUAAUAAGCUUUGGUGGUCACACUAAGUGUUCAUCUACAUCCCUGGCUCUUCCCACUUUGGCACCCGCCAGCCCCACUGCCACUGUCAUCACCUGCACUGCUUUACCUGAGGGCCCUGUCUGGUCCUUGGAGCCCACUUUUUCUGCCCAGGCAACAAGAAGUGUGAAGGAAUCAAAACUCUCCAGGAGCAGCCCUCAACCAGAGACGGACUGGAGUUGGUGUGUGAUAUGGUUUGGCUGUGUCCCCACCCAAAUCUCAUCUUGAAUUGUAGUUCCCAUAAUUCCCAUGUGUUGUGGGAGGGACCCAGUGGGAGGUAAUUCAAUCAUUGGGGUGGGUCUUUCCCAUGCUGUUCUCGUGAUUGUGCAUAAGUCUCAUGAGAUCUGAUGGUUUUAUAAAGGUAAGUUCCCCUGCACAACUUCUCUGUCUUGCCUGCUGCCAUAUAAGAUGUGGCUUUCGCCUUUUGCCACCCCUAUGCCAAGAUUGUGAGGCCUCCCCAGCCAGAUGGAACUGUAAGUCCAUUAAACCUCUUUUUCUUUAUAAAUUACCCAGUCUCAGGUAUGUCUUUAUCAGCAUCAUGAAAACAGACUGAUAACACUGUGUAAAUACCCCGGCUCUCCCACACCACCCUUUGGGUGGGAUGACACUGAGGCCCUUGUUCUGAGGGCUGCCAAAGUUCCCCUGCAGCAUGAAGCUUCUAUUCACCAUGGGAACUGGCUCCACAAAACAUCCUUUAUCCCCUGCUUUCCUUCCUGAUCUCAUUCCCACGCCUUCCAGGAAACAGGAAUCUUUGUCUCAGUAAAUGCUCAUGGGGAACCCAAACUAAGACACAGUCAACUUGUAAAUUUCCAAGCAAGGGCUAUAGUCCAAGCCCUUUCCAAAACUUAUUUGACUGAGAAACUCUUUUCUCACAGUUCACCUGGAGGGACUAGGGUUCUGGAGGACACGCUUAGGGAAGCUCCGUUCUGGCCCUGGGCAGGAUGCAGACCUGUCAUGGAGUUCCUGAGGGGAGAAGUCAAGGACAGCAUGAUAGCAUGGAUGAUCAGGGUGUGAAGCAAGAAAGACAUUGAGUGGGAAUAUCCAGCCACCCAGAAACACCUGGAGUUGAGACUCCCCAGGGGCGGAGUCCUCUCAGAGACAGUCUGAGAGGAAGUGGCUGAUGUGGGCAUUGAAUACGUUCAUCUGCUGCUACGGAUUUGGGGUCUUGUUCUCACACUUCAAGUGCAGUGUGUGGAUUAGACUAAUUCGGAGUGGAUUCAUGCUUCACAAAAAAAUCAUACUGUAGCUGCCUGUGCGAGAAUUAACCCACCUGCUCUGCUUCUACCUGUAAGGAAAUGGUACCAAUUUCCUCAAGCUGCAAGACUGAGAGACAGAGACACCCCAGGAUUGGGCAAUUAUGUUAGGAAAUUCAACAUUCGAGAUGAAUGGAAAAUGGCUGGGGACUUUUUCUCAACAACUUGGCUCGAACAGGAUUGAUUCCAGGACUGAGAAGUAUUCAAGUGACUCAGUGCCUGCAGUGAUAUAAAAUAGGAUCAUUUGGUAGCUGGAAAAUCUAAGGUGUGCCCUAUCAUCAAAGCACCGGCAUUUAAUAAAGUUGAUUAAGGAUGUUGAAGCAGCAAGGAGGGAAACCAACCAUGGAACACCGGGUCAACCCUGCAUUAGGAGUCCGGAACAUCACAGAGACACAGGGAGAUGUCUUCUAAAUUUCUGCAUGGACCAGGAGACUUUUUCUUGCCUCUAGAAGGACAUGGAAUGUUCUUUCUGGAACACCCCCCAGCACUGGCUCAGGACAUCUCUGUGAGGGUUCUUAGAGGACUCAGGGAAUGCUGUCUGCACCUGCACACACAGGUGUGUGGGUUUCCUCUGGGCAUUGGCUGCAUGUUAGGCAUUUGGUAUUCUGUCCUAUACAUGAUGGGAUAAAGUGUUUAAGAGAUAAAUGUUCCAAGACCUUCCUGAUCUACCCAUGAAUAAACAACCUGACUGGGACUGCCCUCUACCCCCUGAGAAGGGCACUGCUUGGCAGACCAGCUGCUUAUACUCAGAAUCUGGAGAAAGGAGGAGGGAGGAAAGUGCAAAAGGCCUGGGGAGUAUGGCUUGGAAAAUGAAGUUUUUCAAGGUAGUUGGGGGAAAAAAUAAGUUCAGAGCCACAGUGGUAUGAGAACGAAAUAGAUGAAAGAGAAAAUGGGAGUGUGUUCAGAAUGGCUGACAUUGGCAGGGCAUGGUGACUCAUGUCUGUAAUCCAAGUGUUUUGGGAGGCCAAGGCAGGAGGAUUGCUUGAGGCCAAAAGUUUGAGACCAGCCUGAGCAAGAUAGUGAGACCUCACCCGUACAAAAUAUAAAAAAUAUUAGCCAGGUGUGGUGGUGUGCAUGUAGUUCCAGCUACUGGGGAGGCUGAGGUGGGAGGAUUGCUUGAACCAAGGAAUUUGAGGCUGCAGUGAGCUAUGAUCACGACACUGCACUCCAGCCCGGACAACUGAGCAAGACCCUGUCUUUAAAAAAUAGAAUGGCUGAGGUCUAUAUGUGUCCUUCUUGGUGUUUGAAAAAUAUUAGUCCAGGACAGAAGUGCUUGCUUUGAAAUUACUCUUGAUUGCUGGACUGGACUUUCUUGACCUCAAAUACACCGUGGGAUUGGGUAUUGUGAGUCAUGGCUUAAAGUACUACUGAGAUGUACGUCCAGACCCUGAGCCUUUUUUUUUUUUUUUUUUGAGACGGAGUCUCGCUGUCGCCCAG